RNAcentral lists this non-coding RNA (1036 nucleotides) under Perkinsus marinus ATCC 50983. RNAcentral's name for it is "Eukaryotic large subunit ribosomal RNA". It matches the Rfam family "Eukaryotic large subunit ribosomal RNA", at positions 458 to 1415 of the family's 3401-position model. The record is from Rfam by way of RNAcentral. Lineage: Eukaryota; Perkinsozoa; Perkinsida; Perkinsidae.
GUUGUUUGGCAGAUGUUAGUGGUGUUUCCUACUUCAGUCGUCAGCAUCACUGGCUGAGUGAAAUAAUCCUUGGAUGCUAAUUGGUUCGCUAUCUGUGAAUUGGUGCUUCCUUGCGAUACUCACUACUCGGUCAGUGAGGAAGUGCGUUUGCUGGUCAACGAGCUUUCUAACUGUCAUUACCCUGCGCUUUUCGAUUCGUCGAGUGGCCAGGAUGUGGCUUUGAGAUUGUUCGCACUUAGUAAUCGCGAUGCUGGCUUCCAACGGUUGCCUCCGGCCCGUCUUGAAACACGGACCAAGGAGUCUAACGUAUGUGCGAGUGUGUGAGUGGCAAACUUAUACGCGUAAUGAAAGUGAGGCCGUAUGGCCAUGUUGGGGUCACCAACAACCGACCUUGAUCUUCGGUGAAAGGUUUGAGUAUGAGCAUAUCCGUUAGGACCCGAAAGAUGGUGAACUAUGCCUGAGCAGGGUGAAGCCAGGGGAAACUCUGGUGGAGGCUCGUAGCGAUACUGACGUGCAAAUCGUUCGUCAGACUUGGGUAUAGGGGCGAAAGACUAAUCGAACCAUCUAGUAGCUGGUUCCCUCCGAAGUUUCCCUCAGGAUAGCUAGAGUCUUUAUCAGUUUUGUCAGGUAAAGCGAAUGAUUAGAGGUUCCGGGGAAGUAACUUCCUCGACCUAUUCUCAAACUUUAAAUGGGCAAGAUCCAGUAGUUACUUAAUUGAACUAUUGGGGUCAAUGAGACGACUCUAAGUGGGCCAUUUUUGGUAAGCAGAACUGGCGAUGAGGGAUGAACCUAACGCUCGGUUAAGGUGCUAAACUGCUCGCUCAUCAGAUACCACAAAGGGUGUUGGUCGAUCUUAACAGCAGGACGGUGGUCAUGGAAGUCGAAAUCCGCUAAGGAGUGUGUAACAACUCACCUGCCGAAUCGACUAGCCCCGAAAAUGGAUAGCGCUGAAGCGAGUGACCGAUACCGGGCCAUUGUUGCAAGAUAAUUGGCAACAAUGAGUAGGAGGGCGUGGGGGUUGUGAAGAAGCUGGACG